RNAcentral lists this ribosomal RNA (634 nucleotides) under Symbiodinium sp. Its description in RNAcentral is "eukaryotic LSU rRNA". It matches the Rfam family "Eukaryotic large subunit ribosomal RNA", at positions 43 to 668 of the family's 3401-position model. Lineage: Eukaryota; Dinophyceae; Suessiales; Symbiodiniaceae. The record is from RNAcentral.
UAGGUAAGCGGGUGGAAAAGGAGCUAAAUAGGAUUCCCUCAGUAAUGGCGAAUGAACAGGGAUGAGCUCAGGCUGGAAACCGAUACAUCUGUGUCGGGCUGUAGCCUGCAGGCAUAGCGCUAUCGGCGGCUCGAGCGCAAGCCUCUUGGAAUAGAGCGUGUGCCCGGGUGAGAAUCCUGCAUUUCGCUCGAUGUCCGCUGUCCACAGUGCUUGUUCUGAGAGUCACGCUCCUCGGAAUUGGAGCGUAAAUCAGGUGGUAAGUUUCAUCCAAAGCUAAAUAGAAGCUCGAGACCAAUAGCAAACAAGUACCAUGAGGGAAAGAUGAAAAGGACUUUGGAAAGAGAGUUAAAAGUGUUUGAAAUUGCUGAGAGCGAAGCGAACGGAGCCACAUGUCGUGCUGAGAUUGCUGUGGGUCUUUGUGAGCCUUGAGCAUGUAAGCGCAAGCUGACUGGCUUAUGCGUGAGCAUUUGCCCGCAGUGUUUCUCAGCAUGCGAGUCAUUAGCCACAUUUGUUUGAGGAUGGCCUUCAGCUCACAUGGUACACUUGUUAGUGUGCCUCUGUGCGGUGUGGGACUCAGACAGGUGUGGCUUGGUGACCCAGUGGUUUUUUUCCACCCCUCUUGAAACCCGGACCC